Long non-coding RNA from Haliotis rubra (blacklip abalone), 177 nucleotides. RefSeq lists it as uncharacterized. NCBI's taxonomy places the organism in Eukaryota, Metazoa, Mollusca, Gastropoda, Lepetellida, Haliotidae. The record is from RefSeq and is a predicted model, not a curated record. The transcript has 3 exons.
GUAGAGCAAUAUUGAUGUGCUUAGAAGGGCUGUUAUGUGUAACCCAGCAUAGAACCUUGAUGUGCUUAGUUAGGGUUUUGCAGAAUCUUGUUCUUUGGGGUAAAUCUUGAUGUGUUUGGGAAAGGCUUUCUGUGAUAUUAGGUAAAGUAUUUGAGUGAGUGAGUGAGUGAGUGAGUG